ACCAACAGGCACACACAGAAGCAUGAAAUAAUGGUGCAACAGAACAGCGCUGGACUAAGAAGUCAGGGAGCUAACUUCUAAUCUAGCCUUCUUCACUUCAUAUCUAUGAGUAUGGGGUUCUAUUCUGAUGAGCCUAGGAAAAGAGAGAAUGCAUGAAACCAUUAGCCCAGCCUCCAUCUGAUCACACUUGCCACCUUCAUCUUCAGAAAUGACAGGGCAGCCGCCUUGCCUUGAUCCAUACAAUUCCACCAGGGCCUGGUCAGAUCAUCAUGAUGUCAACAGCCAUUUUGUGGAUCAUUCCCAGUGGCUUUGUUUUUUGCAACAUAUAUUCUCUCAUUUAAUCUUCACAACAGCCCUAAUAAAUAGCUAUCAUAUUCCAUGCUACAGAUGAGGACAUUGAGGAACACAUGUUGCUGAGGGUUAUCACAAGCUGGUAAGUGACAAGUUGGGCACUCAAAAUUAGGUUUUCCAAUGCACAGCUCCUUCCUCCUUCCCAAAGCUGCAGAGUGAAAUGGGUGUGAUGGAAUGAGUCACUAUCUGAAAAUGCUGGGUCGACAUGCGCCAAGUUGGAGGAGUUAACAUUGGUGGUCCCUGACUUGUUUUUCCCUUAAGGGGUAAUAAUGAACAAACCUUAACCUGUUAAGCAUCCGCGUGCACAUAGUAUUACAUCUGAUUUCUAAUUUUUCCAACAACUCUGAAAGCGAGCUGAGCUCAAAGAGAUUAAGGAACCAGCCUGAGGAUACCCAGGCAGUAGCUGGUAGAGCUGUAGGCCCUACCCAGGUUCCUCUGGCUCCGUGGUUCCCUCUCCCCACUCUGCAAUUCUCUCUAGUAAUGUCAAUUGUUGGGCCCUAGGGGUGAGAUUUUACCACCAUACCAUCUGAGUACCUACCCUGCACAGAAUCCUGCUUACCCCAUCUGAGUCUCUGGCACAGGAACCAACAGCACGAAGUUGGCCUCAGCUUCACCUCCCAUCACCUGAGCAUCACCUGAGCCCACCAGUUGCCGUCCCUGCUUCAAACGCAUAAGAUCCUCAUGAGCUGCCCUGCUCACUAGGCCUUGAAAUUGCCAUAUUUUGUAUCACUUUCAACACUUCCUUAUGGACAAGGGAUACCUUGAGGGCAGAGCUUAUGUGGGGAAUGUUUCUGUUUGCUCAUGGCACCUGGUAUAAAGCCUUUCUUAUAAAAUCCUGAGAAUAAAUACAUUUAUGCUCAGUGCUUUGGGAAUUGUGAUGAAGCAUGCUGUGCUUCAUUAACGUGUUUCUCCAUUCUUGCAUGGAAGAGGCUAUGAAAUUUAAGGGUUGAGCAGGAAGAAACUAGGUUGUGAGCAACUGGAGAACAGGAACAAUGUCUGAUUCAAGGUCUAAUGCUUAGGCCAAAAGCCCUUCCCCUAGCGCUUAGGACCUCAAUGAACAAACAGACUUCAGCAAGUCCAAUAACCCCCUAAACAUAUAUGUAAAUGUUUUUGAGGAUGUUCAUUUCUACACUUGUCUACCGCAAAAACCCAGAGCUUUCAUUUGAUUCUCAAAGCGUGUUAAGACUCACUCUCCAAGUACAUAGUAGAUGCACACUCAUAUAUCCAACAUAUGUGAAUGAGCACUUCCUCAGAACCAUUUGCUCUAUGGAUUGAUGAAGGAAGGAAAAGAGGUGUGCAAGGUGCAGACUUUUAAAGUCAGAUUCAUUUAUUUCACUGGUUUUAGUUAAAGCUUUUGAGAUACUGUUAGAGGGUCAAGUCCUUCUUCCCAAUUAGAGUCCCCCUUGAGUCAUUUUAAAGGCCAAAUUUUAAAAGCAGCAAUAUUACACAAGUUUCAGGCUAGAAACCGGGACACCUGAAUUCUGAUUCCAGAGUUGUUACUGAUUAGUCAGAGUGGCCUUAGGCAAGUCCCUGAAAGCAGGUGGUUUGUGACACUUAAAGUCUGCCACAACCCAAUGACAGAUGACUUUUCCAUAGGAGAACAAAUUUAUUAUUUUUUAAAUGUAUGGAAAAGUAAAAUAUAACCAUAAUUAAUAAAUGUUAUAUUGAC
Symphalangus syndactylus (siamang) is the source of this 2020-nucleotide long non-coding RNA. RefSeq lists it as uncharacterized. The record is from RefSeq and is a predicted model, not a curated record. NCBI's taxonomy places the organism in Eukaryota, Metazoa, Chordata, Mammalia, Primates, Hylobatidae.